UGAUAACAAAAGCGAAACAGGUAUUUGGACAACCAUGCUUAUAGCAUUAUUGGCAGUAGCCAAAAUGUGUAGGCAUUUUAAGUGUCCAUCAAAGGUUGAAUGAAUAAACAAAAUUUGGCAUACACACAAAGAGUAGAAUAGUAUUCAUUCUUAAAAUGGAAGGGAAUUCUGAUACAACAUUUAUGAAAUUUAAGGAUACGGAUGCUAUGUGAACUAAGGACAAAUACUGUAUAAUUCUACUUAACUUAGUUAAUCUGUCCAAGAGUAGUCAGAAUCAUAGAGACAGAAAAUUAGAUUGGUGGUUGUCAUGGAAUGAAUAGUGGAAUGGGAAGAUGAUUAUGGAAAUGGAGUUUUGGUUUUGUAAGAUAAGAAGUUCUGAAUAUUGGACACACAACUGCAUGAAUGUAAUUAACCCACUGAACUGUACACUUAAAAACGGUUGUGAUGGUGAAUGUUAUGUUUAUUCUACCAUUAUUUUUUAAAAAAUGAGUAAAUAUUUUGACCAAGCCCCAGAUUUUUAUAAGGCUAAGCUAAUUAUUUAUGUGUUAUUAUAUUCAAGUAAAGUAC
This 567-nucleotide long non-coding RNA is filed under the name Marmota monax (woodchuck). Lineage: Eukaryota; Metazoa; Chordata; Mammalia; Rodentia; Sciuridae. The record is from RNAcentral.